RNAcentral lists this microRNA (20 nucleotides) under Bos taurus (domestic cattle). RNAcentral describes it as "bta-miR-2285aq". The record is from miRBase by way of RNAcentral. Lineage: Eukaryota; Metazoa; Chordata; Mammalia; Artiodactyla; Bovidae.
AAGCCCAGAUGAACUUUUUG